AGGACAGAAGAACAUCAACUUUA
RNAcentral lists this non-coding RNA (23 nucleotides) under Cricetulus griseus (Chinese hamster). Lineage: Eukaryota; Metazoa; Chordata; Mammalia; Rodentia; Cricetidae. The record is from RNAcentral.